GGAACGAUGGGUGCUUGCUCCCAGGCGUCGAGCGGCGGACGGGUGAGUAACGCGUGAGAAUCUGCCCAUUUGUGGGGGAUAACUCGGGGAAACUCGAGCUAAUACCGCAUAAUCCCUACGGGGGAAAGCAGGGGACCUUCGGGCCUUGUGCAGAUGGAUGAGCUCGCGUCGGAUUAGCUUGUUGGUGAGGUAAAGGCUCACCAAGGCGACGAUCCGUAGCUGGUCUGAGAGGAUGAUCAGCCACACCGGGACUGAGACACGGCCCGGACUCCUACGGGAGGCAGCAGUGGGGAAUCUUGGACAAUGGGGGCAACCCUGAUCCAGCCAUGCCGCGUGUGUGAAGAAGGCCUUCGGGUUGUAAAGCACUUUCAGUAGGGAGGAAGGCUUACUGCUAAUAACGGUGAGUACUUGACGUUACCUACAGAAGAAGCACCGGCUAAUUUCGUGCCAGCAGCCGCGGUAAUACGAAAGGUGCGAGCGUUAAUCGGAAUUACUGGGCGUAAAGCGCGCGUAGGCGGUUUGUUAAGUCAGAUGUGAAAGCCCCGGGCUCAACCUGGGAAUUGCAUUUGAAACUGGCAGGCUAGAGUGCAGUAGAGGGAGGUGGAAUUUCCGGUGUAGCGGUGAAAUGCGUAGAGAUCGGAAGGAACACCAGUGGCGAAGGCGGCCUCCUGGACUGACACUGACGCUAAGGUGCGAAAGCGUGGGGAGCAAACAGGAUUAGAUACCCUGGUAGUCCACGCCGUAAACGAUGUCUACAAGUCGUUGGGAAUCUUAGUAUUCUUGGUGACGAAUUUAACGCGAUAAGUAGACCGCCUGGGGAGUACGGCCGCAAGGUUAAAACUCAAAUGAAUUGACGGGGGCCCGCACAAG
RNAcentral lists this ribosomal RNA (870 nucleotides) under Alcanivorax sp. RNAcentral's name for it is "bacterial SSU rRNA". It matches the Rfam family "Bacterial small subunit ribosomal RNA", at positions 68 to 929 of the family's 1533-position model. The record is from RNAcentral. Lineage: Bacteria; Pseudomonadati; Pseudomonadota; Gammaproteobacteria; Oceanospirillales; Alcanivoracaceae.